Molecule: long non-coding RNA, 1529 nt
Filed under: Lynx pardinus (Iberian lynx)
Lineage: Eukaryota; Metazoa; Chordata; Mammalia; Carnivora; Felidae
Source: RNAcentral
GUGUGGCCAAGAGGGCUGGAGCAAGCCAAGAUGCAAUCAGGCACAACACCCGGAACCCACCAGCCCUGAGCUUGAUUCGGGGAGGCUGCCUCUGUGCUGUCUCAGUCUGAUUCGCUCCUUUGAGAUCAAAACGUUCCAGCUGCAUGCAGUGUUCGGCAGCGGGUGUGCCGAUGGCGGGGAGCUCUGGAGGGUAUUUGAUUAAGAGAGGUUUUCCCACUCAUCCUGAGCUUCAUUCGCAGUGCUUUCUCCAAGCUUGCCUCCUGGGCUGCUCCCUCGUCUGUUUGCUCUCAUGUACUCUGUGUUUGGCCGUCUGCGUUUGGUUGUGCCUCUGUAUCCAAGGCCAUGGGAUGACGUGGUAGUUGAAACUCAGGUAGCAGGGGAAAGGGUGUGUCAGGGUAAUAAUAGCGGAAGCAUGACAACUUCCAGGUUUCUCAUCGGAGGGUCACCCACUCCAGGAAUAUGCUCUUUGGAGGUUUCUUUUCCAAGGCCACAGUGGGGCUUCAGUGCCUGCUGUUAGCCCUCACGAUCGCCUCUUUGGUCUCAGGCUGGGUGGGCAGAUGAAAGUUCCUAGUUGAUUUUAUUCUCUGGUGCUCCCCCUCCCCGCCCGCCCCAGAACUUGCUGCUCUGAAUAAACCAAAGCUGUGAAACGGUGUUCUGCCCCGGGCGGCAGGCCCAGCCUCCAGGAGCGGGGCGGGGUGUGCACGUGCCCUGGGGCCCUGGACUGUGAGGGAAAGACACGAAUCCAUUGUGUUGAGAGCUGGGGGAGGCGGGGGGGGGGGGGGGGAAGAGACUGAAGAGGAAGGAACAGGGUGGGAAAGACGAAUGGCUGAGGUGCCGGCUGCCUCUCCAUGAAGCAGAAGGGAGAGGUGAAAGUGGCACAGGCAGAGGCAGAGAUGGUCCCCAUCGACACGAGUGCCCAGAACCAUCCUGACCGUGUCCGUGCCUACUUCCACGCAAAGCAGAGGAAUCUGAUUUUCUACCUGACACUGUCCUUCAGUGCGCCGAGCGUCAGCCCUCAUUAAAUAUGCGUCUCUCCGGGUCAGAAGCGGGAGAGGCGGCAAAAGUCACCCCUGCCUUUGAGAACCUGUGCCACUUGGCCUGAGAUCGUGGAGGAAGAAGCCAAGAGCAGAAACGUCUUCCUGUCCCUGUGGCCUCCCGGGACCGCCCAGGGAUGCCAUGGACCAAGAUGGGAGGCUGUGGGACGGGGCCACUGGCCUUCCCAGGGUUGGGGGCCAGGCCUGCUCGAGAAACUGCUCCCUUGUGGAUCGUUACUCCCUUUGGACCCUUCGGCCGCCUUCCGUGCGCCGUGUGCGGGGAAAGGUGGCCGGCGGCUUGCGCUCCAGCCGCGGGAGCCCUAGCUGAGUCACGCGGCGUGCACCACAGAUCCGUAGCCGCCCAGCUGCCAUGUAAACCGCUUGGCUGACGGAGUCCUCAUUGAGUUGUCUCAUUACUGUGCAAAGUGGGAUAAUGUCACUCACCUUUACUAUAAACAAGGCUGUGAGAACAUAAUAAACACACCCUGAACACGC